Nothobranchius furzeri (turquoise killifish) is the source of this 3958-nucleotide non-coding RNA. NCBI's taxonomy places the organism in Eukaryota, Metazoa, Chordata, Actinopteri, Cyprinodontiformes, Nothobranchiidae. The record is from RefSeq and is a predicted model, not a curated record.
CUUACUGGAUUUCACCUAUUCUGAUUUAUUUCAAUCAUUUAGCAAAUGGUGGCAUAAUUUCCAGCAUGAUCGUGCCUUCAUCUGUGUAAAACAAAUGGAGUCAAUCACAAAAGGAGAAUACGUCAAAUAGUGUCAAGUGUCUAAUUCUGUAUCUUGCCUCUGCAGGUGUACAACCCUAUUGAGAAUUUCAAUAAGAAAGGACAUGAAACAGCUCAGCUAACUUCAGAAUAACAAUGCACAAGGAGAUGCUGUCUAUGUGAGAGUGAUGCAGAGGAAGCCUUGAGACAGCAACGGCACCCUUAAACUGGUUGUGAGCAGACAAACUGCCGACAUGAUAAAAAAUGGUAAGUUACAGAUUCUAUUCAAUAUAUUUCUAACAUUAUUAACUCCAGCCUCCAAGGUUGAUGAUGCAUGCAGAAAGAGGACACAUCACAACUAGGAAGAAACGAAGUUAAUGAUGUGCAAUGAUAGCUCAGUCACCUGAUUAAUCUUUAAUUAUAAGCUUUAUCAAAAGAGUGAAAUGUUGGGUUGUAUUUUUCAGAUAACAACUAUGUAACAUACAUAAUGGAGCAAGUAAGAGCUGCAAACCAGAAUCAAGGUAAACUUCCCUUAGUAUUCCACUGUGUGUGUGUGUGUGUGUGUGUGUGUGUGUGUGUGUGUGUGUGUGUGUGUGUGUGUGUGUGUGUGUGUGUGUGUGUGUGUGUGUGUGUGUGUGUGUGUGUGUGUGUGUGUGGUUAAAAUAUGUUUUCAAUUGUAACCUUAGGUAGCAUCGGCAGGAAAUCCACAAAUUAACCCACCUUUGUCCACUGGUCAACUUUUGAGAGACCAGUGUCCCACCCCUGUUACCAAGAUGCCAGUGUCCAUCAACCCUAGUCCCAUAGCAGGAACUCAACCUUCAACCUUGAGCACAUCUGUUCAGUCAGUUCAAACAUUCAAUCAGCACCCUAAUCAAGUUGCCCAGGUUCAACUUUCCAAAAUCCCAGGUCAGAGUGAGUCAGUUGUCCCACUCACCCAGUGCAUUACUUCUGUUAAAACAUCUCCAAAGGGACUGCAAUCUUCAUGUCCAUCCAAUGAGCCAGAAUGCCAUGGACCACCGACAGAAUUCACACACAGUACUACACUGCUGCUUCUAGAGCUAACAAGAGAACAUCAGCAUCUCUAUCACCGUAACAAACCUUUAUUCUAUAAAAAGCUGGAACAGGAAUUCUCUCGACGAGAAUACAACUUCACUAACGAGAAAAUAAGAAAAAAGCUGGGAAACAUGGUAACCACAUACAAACGAGCCUAAGACAGAAGUAGACUGACACGAGGGGAGAAAAUUACCUGGGACUAUUACACACAAAUGGAUGAACUUUUUGGUCGCACUGCGGUGGGAAGUGCACCACCUGGCACAGCUGUUUCAACUCCCCUCUUUCCUAAAGAAGCCCAUCCUUCAGCGGCUCAGUCAUCACCUGCUGAAACCGAAGAGCAACCUGGUCCCUCAUCGGCCAUACAGGACAGAAAAGCUUCUGGCUCUAAGAGAAGCAAGAAUGCUCAUCUCCCAGCGUUUUUUCAGUCCUAUGAGGCCCAUGCUGAAUGCAGGACCACUGCCUUGGAGUCACUUACAAGACCAGAAUUGGCCAACUGGAGACGGCUGAAAGAAAAAAAGAAGAAGGGGGUUUGAGAAACAAGUCAUUCCAUGCAUGGGUCAAAUUCUGAAUCAGUUAAAAGAACUUGGAAAGCAGCAAGAAAAACGUAUCAGUUUGUUAGAAGGACACUCAAAAUAAAAAUGUAUAUCUGAGCGUUGAAGGUAUUUUUGUUUUUCUUAUCUUUAAAGGAUUGGAGCAGUGGUUGGCAUGUCAAAUUACUAACGGUAAUGCCACUUUGCCUCUAGGCACCACUGAUGCUCCGAGAUCCCCUGAUGGUUUUGCCUGGGUUCAUAUCACCCAGUUUCCAUGAGCUGCCACUGGGAGGCACAUCAGGAGUCUUGAUGAUAGAGAUGCACUUUGUUUAAAACUUAAUGUACAGAUUUAGGAGUUGGAGAGCAGACUGAUUUCACUUAAGGUGCAUCAAAUCACCCUGUGGCAUACAGCACACUAGCUCACAUAAAUGUGUGGGAAUGAAAAAUAAAACCAAACAUUGGAUAAGGUGCUGGGGUAAGGGUGGGCUAGCUUAAAUCUGGGAACAAAUCCUGUCUCUGUAGUUUGAAGCAUCUUCAUUGUUGGGUUGUGGUGGAUGUGGAUCAUUCUCGUCCUGCUCUAGCUCAUCCUCCUCCACAUGGUCACUAGGAUCCAAACAAAUGUUGUACAGAAUGCAGCAUGCUGUCACAGUUGCACUAAUAUGUCCUAUGCCUUUCACGUGAAGACAUCUGAGCCUCCUAAACUUUGCUUUCAGCAUGCCAAAUGCAUGUUUAAUGACAACACGCGCCACAUUCAGUUUUCUAUUAAAGUGCCUUUGGCUGGCUGUGAUGUGCCCAUUAUCCCUGUGAGGCUUCAUCAGCCGUGGCAAUAGGGGGUAAGCUGAAUCUCCAAUGAUGUGCAUGCCAUUUGGGACCAGAGCCUGGGGGUCUUCUUCAAGUAGGUGUGCAACAGUUGUGUGGCAAAUGGCUCUUGCAUCAUGCCAGCUGCCAGGGUGGCCCACACUGACAUGACAGAAGCGGCGAUUGCUGUUUGCAAACCCAGUGAGGAUUAUGGAAUAGAACUGUUUUCUGUUAUAGUAUGCUGUGGGAUCAUUGCAAUUUGGUCUGACAAUGGGAAUGUGACAUCCAUCAACGGCACAGACUGUAUUUGGAAAAUCUGCCCUCUGAAAUCCGACCUGUGAGGUAUGAAGCUGUUCACCAGUAGGCCAAGAAAUGUAAUGUGACAAAUGUGUGAUGACCAGGGAGCAGAAGUGAUGGAGAUGUGCAAAAACUGUAGAUUUGGAUAUGUUAAAACGGUCCGCCACUCCCCUGUAUGACUCCUGAUUUUCCAGCGUCCACAGACAGGCAAGAACACUUUUGGACAGGGGUAAUUUGGUGUGCUGUCUGUUCAUGUGGAAUGGUCCCAGUGCCAUCACUAGAUCCUAAAUGGAAAAGUCAGAAAGUGAACAUGAUGUCUGAGCAAAUAUGAGUAGUGGUGACCAUCACAAAAGCCUACCUCCACUUGUCCUCUGGAAAGUCUGAAGUGGCUUUUAAAGUCAGAAUGACGGUAAAAAGGAAUAACAUUCUCAACAAAGUGUUUAACUUUUGGCACAGACCUGACAGAAAUUAUAUGCACAUUAUUCUAAUUUACAUCUGAAGCAGUAUCUUCAAAGGCGAAAUAUGCAGCCUUGUUUAACUUUUGGACUAUUUUCAAAUGAGUUUUUAGAUCUUAAACAAAGAAACAGAAACAAAUGCACAUGGCGGUUGUAUUUGGCGUUCUACUACUUUAACAGCAGAUGACAUAGCACAACUGAUGGGACUGGUAGCUAACACCACUUACUUCACAUACGAUGACGCAAUAUACAAAAAACUGGAAGGCUUCGCCAUGGGUUACCCAUUAUCAGCCACCAUGUGCGAGUUUUCAUGUUUAUGUUUAUUCAUUUAGCAGACGCUUUUAUCCAAAGCGACUUACAACACACACACACACACACACACACCUACACACACACACACACACACUCCAUUUUCUUGUAGAAGAAUAGGUAUUUCAUCUGCAUCUAUUCCAUCCGCAAAUAUGAACGCUAACGCGAUAUCUUUAGCCAUCGUCACCUGUGAGCUACACAUGCAGGAAAUUGUGUCCGACUUAAUCGCCGGCUUUCAGCCACUCCCCCAGCUCUUGUCUGUUUUCCAGGCGAGGCGCAUCUCUACUCGAACACGGCCAAGAUGAACGGCUCUCUACAGGCACUCGGCUCUCAUCGUUUACUUUGAAAACCCGUUCAAAAGCUUUGAUUUGUUCAUGAACGUCACAUCACUAAAUGCCAUAGAAUUAGCGAUGCAUGUCGUAACCAAACAUUAAUUAAA